CACAUUUUAAAUGCCAAAUCUCUGUACCUAUUCUAUUACAUAACACUAACUAGAAUUCUGAGUGUUUUGUGAAUAUGUUGCUGUCCAAAACACACACACAUUUAUAUAUUAUAUAAAUGAAGUUUAGUCACAUAUAACAUACAUUAAAUACUUGAGAAUCAGGCCUACAGACAACAAAAUUGGUGAAUGAAUAUAAACCCAUUUUGCAAUUCACUUGUGAUUGUAGGAAUUUACAAGGAAAAAUAAUAAAGGCUGAUAGCCUCAACUUAAGGCAGAAUGAUUAACCAAAUCCUUGAGGAUACUUCUGCAGUGAUUAUUUCCAUCCUUUGCGUCACGGUCUCCUCGAUUUGCUGGAUCAAAGGAAUUUGUUUCCUCAACCAAAAAGAAAAAGAAAAGAAAAAAGAAUUAGGGUUAAAUCGUACACGGGGAUUAGGGUGUUUCAGUAAUGCAGCUGUUGGGUUGGGCGUGUAAUUCACGGGGGAUGUCAAAUCGUAGGCAAGAGUUUGAAUCUCUUCUUUUAUUUGCUUUCUGUUCAAAUAUGCUUCACUUGCUCCAUUUUCAAAGUUCAUUAUGUAGUUUUCUUAUAAGGGUCCAUGAUUUUUUACUGACCUUGGACUGGCAAUGAAAGUGAAAACUUGGAGGAGAGAAAUAGGGUUAGAAGCGGGGACCCACAAUUGAAAGCAAGGGAAUCUGAAUGGUUACUUUCAGGGGAACAGAGUUCCUGAAAUUGAAAGAUAGAUACCUUUAUUAUCUUUCAUGCACACUAACUACAAUUUUCCUGAAUUUUUCGCCAGCACCAUCACCACCACCAUUAAAGCUUUUCUUUCAUGCGCAUGCAACCCAAUGAAACAAAAUAAUAAUAAAAUACUGGAGUAGUAUAAAAUAACGAUAAUUAAAAAAAAAAAGCAAUAAAAGAAAAAUACCUCCUGAUCAAUGAAUUCUGAAAUCGUACUUAAACACACACUUUAAAGCAAAAGUUUAAAAUAUAAUUAUACAGAGAGACAAGUGAAGCAGAGAAGCUGAGGCCCCGUGCAGACUACAACAACUGCAAACUAUGAAGUAAUUACACGUGUACAUAGAUAACACGUGUCAGAAAGUCUUAUCAAGAAAUGACCUUUCAAAGGUUAAUUAAUUAUCAGAGAGGACUCACUGGGUACUGCAUUUAAGGUGAGUGGCUGUGAGUAUACAGUAUAUGGAUGCAGAAACAUCAUCAUAUUAUAUCUUCCUGUUUUAAAAAAGAGGAGAGCAAUUAAAGGCACUCGGAAUAACCCCUUUUUUCAUUAAAAAUAAAAAAGGGAAAAAAAUAAGAGAAAGAUUUCCUGCAGUCUGAAUAUUUUUCUAGCUAGUAAAAUUAAAGUGGAUCC
This 1364-nucleotide long non-coding RNA is filed under the name Ricinus communis (castor bean). RNAcentral describes it as "long non-coding RNA (RCOM_LNC000133)". The record is from RNAcentral. Lineage: Eukaryota; Viridiplantae; Streptophyta; Magnoliopsida; Malpighiales; Euphorbiaceae.